ACUAGUGACCCUGACUCUCCCUGUGCCAGAGGAGGAAAUGUAUAGAUGGCCUGUGGAGAUCCAGGUUUAGGUAAAAGCUUGAAGUAGUUUUGAGUGCAGAUAUCAAAUAUCAACUAGAAUAUCACCAUGGGGUGGAAAGUUUUUUAAGUCGUAAGCUUGUGGGUACUUGGAGUAAGAGAGAUGCUGUGCAUUGGCGGAUAAUCAAAGAUUCCAUGGUGGUGGUGGCAUAUCUUAUCUAUUGAUGAUAAAAGUGCUUUUCCUGGCAAUUUUAUUUGUUCCAAUUUAUAUUUCAGUUGUAAGGAUAAAUUUUGCAUUGUGUCUAG
Molecule: unclassified non-coding RNA, 323 nt
Filed under: Hevea brasiliensis (rubber tree)
Lineage: Eukaryota; Viridiplantae; Streptophyta; Magnoliopsida; Malpighiales; Euphorbiaceae
Source: RNAcentral